GACGAACGCUGGCGGCGUGCUUAACACAUGCAAGUCGAACGGAAAGGCCCUGCUUUUGUGGGGUGCUCGAGUGGCGAACGGGUGAGUAACACGUGAGUAACCUGCCCUUGACUGUGGGAUAACUUCAUGAAACUGGGGCUAAUACCGGAUAGGAGCUCCUGCUGCAUGGUGGGGGUUGGAAAGUUUCGGUGGUUGGGGAUGGACUCGCGGCUUAUCAGCUUGUUGGUGGGGUAGUGGCUUACCAAGGCUUUGACGGGUAGCCGGCCUGAGAGGGUGACCGGCCACAUUGGGACUGAGCUACGACCCAGACUCGUACGGGAGGCAGAAGUGGGGAAUAUUGCACAAUGGGCGGAAGCAUGAUGCAGCAACGCCGCGUGCGGGAUGACGGCCUUCGGGUUGUAAACCGCUUUCGCCUGUGCCGAAGCGUGAGUGACGGUAAUGGGUAAAGAAGCACCGGCUAACUACGUG
This 468-nucleotide ribosomal RNA is filed under the name uncultured bacterium. RNAcentral describes it as "partial 16S ribosomal RNA". It matches the Rfam family "Bacterial small subunit ribosomal RNA", at positions 28 to 507 of the family's 1533-position model. The record is from RNAcentral.